GAAAUGCGAUAAUUAAUGUGAAUUGCAGAAUUCAGUGAAUCAUCGAGUCUUUGAACGCACAUUGCGCCCCCUGGUAUUCCGGGGGGCAUGCCUGUCCGAGCGUCAUUGCUGCCCUCAAGCACGGCUUGUGUGUUGGGCUUCCGUCCCUGGCAACGGGGACGGGCCCAAAAGGCAGUGGCGGCACCAUGUCUGGUCCUCGAGCGUAUGGCGCUUUGUCACCCGCUCCCGUAGGUCCAGCUGGCAGCUAGCCUCGCAACCAAUCUUUUUAACCAGGUUGACCUCGGAUCAGGUAGGGAUACCCGCUGAACUUAAGC
Molecule: unclassified non-coding RNA, 314 nt
Filed under: plant metagenome
Description: partial contains 5.8S ribosomal RNA, internal transcribed spacer 2, and large subunit ribosomal RNA
Rfam family: 5.8S ribosomal RNA (bases 1-105)
Source: RNAcentral